This is a long non-coding RNA of Dermochelys coriacea (leatherback sea turtle), 4871 nucleotides long. RefSeq lists it as uncharacterized. Lineage: Eukaryota; Metazoa; Chordata; Testudines; Dermochelyidae. The record is from RefSeq and is a predicted model, not a curated record. The transcript has 8 exons.
UUUCUGUCUUUCCUAAACAGCACAUACCCUUCAAUACCUGUAGUCGUCAUGACUACUAUUCCACCAUGUUUCUGUUAUCCCUAUAAUAUCUUUAUGUAUAUAAUACAUAAAGUUAAAAUCCUUAGUGCCAUUUCAAUGUUUCUGGUGUUGAAUUUGAUAAGAGCAAAAGUUCAGUGUGUACAAUUAUAUAUGGUAUAAUGAAUCUCAUUUACUCCAGGAGGAUUGGUAUAAAUACCUAGAGAAUUUGACAUGGCGCUUUUUGCAGACCUGCCAAAAAUCUACAAUUCGCGUUUCUCUUCACAACAGGAAAUAGUUGUGGGGCACAGCCAUUCCAUGGUAUACUGUGAUUUUGUCAGCAACCUUAGGCUGAGCUGGGUUGGAUCUGGCCAGUACUUGGAUGAGAGACUUCCAAAGAGAAUUUAAGGCUUUACAGGAAGUGGUGGCAGACAUUAGGUGCCAAUGCAUUGGCGUCUCAGAAUACGCUCCUGCCGUGGCUAUGAAAGCGCAGAAAAAGAACUGUGAUGUGAUUUGAGAUAUGACCAGUAGAGGGCAGUGUUUCAUAAUUCAGAGCAGAAAGGCUGUCUCAAUGGAAAGCAAAGGUAAGGAGGAAUUUAGGCUACCCCUAUGGUUAUGACACAAGCACUGAAAGCAUCUGCAGGGGUGACGGUUGAGUCUGGCAACGCUCCUGAAGUGGUGAAAGGAAGCCAUCACCACCACUCGAUCCACAAGGGAAUUACAGGGCAAUUUAAAAGUAGAAAAGGACUUCCAGGUUCCCGGCAGCCAGGCCCCUGAAAGGUACUAGGGAAGUGGAGCAGAGGGCAGCCAAAGAUCUGGACAAAGAGGAACCUGAAUGGUUGCGUAUAGGAGGCACAAGUUGGGAGUUUUGUAUUAAUUAAAUGAAACUCAAAUCCUUCCAAACUGACAUGUCGCCUUUUAAAAAUAUAGCUUCUCUUAGCCUGUGUACAUAUUACUUUGCUGUUGGGUUGCUUAUGAGCUCUGGACUGUGUACACUGCUUUGUUGUUGUAGGGUUGUUUGUGAGCAUUCAGCUCCACAAACUGGUCAAAAACAAAACACACCUGAAGACAUUGUACAGCCUUUUCUCAGGGGGCAGGAAGCACAUUGUUACCCUAAUGCAUGAAGGGUCAUCAUCCAUGUAGGAAUCUGGUGCCAAUCAGAAGGCUGCUAGACUUAGAACAAAAGUGGCUUCUACUCCCACUUCCCUAGGGUUCAGUGUCUUGUACUAGAUGGGGGUUUCUUUAAAUAUAUAAUCAUCACAAGUCCUGUUAUUGUGGAGAGCCUCUUGCCCUGGGCUUGGAAGAGGGUCAGCUGGUGUAUGCGCUCUCGUCAGGGGUAUGCGAGAAAAAUCCUGUAAUCCUGUAAUUGUCUUCUCCUUUAUAGACUUUUUUUUUUCUGUUUUAAUAGGUAUAUUAUGACCCUAUCUCAGAUGGGAGUACACGGUAGACUACAUGUUUUAGAAGAGGUACGCAGCUUAAGAAGUUUGAAAACCACUGUCCUAGGAACUACAUUGUGGAGGACAUUCCAGUGCAGAUCAGAUAUUUCUGCCUAUGCUGAUGUGGCUUUUGGUACUGUAUUUGGGGUAUCUCCCUGGCUUCUACGGUUCAUAGCGCUUUGCAAAUAUUUACCCUCACCAAGUCCCCUGGGAGGUAUGACCCCACGACACAGGAAUGGAGAUGUGGUGUGGCCCCCCUGAGCGAAGGCAAACGAGACAUGGGCAUAGCAGAGCUGGGCGGCUAUCUGUACUGUGUAGGAGGCUGUGAUGGGAUGGCACACCUCAGGACUGUGGAAAGGUAUCGGAACCCAUGUGUGGAUGGACAUAACUUUCAUGGACUGUGCUCUGUAGGACCGCCAAUGUCCGAGUUCAUAGUGAACAACUGGGAUUGUUACAGCCACUGAGGUUGCCGUUUUAGCUAGAGAGCUUUUGUUUAAUAUGGAGAGAGGUGUCAAUGUUGACUCGGUGUCCUCCAUAGCCAUGAGGCACCCAGUCUCCACCAAUCAGGGGAGCUGGGACCUGGAGGAUUCUGGUUUGUAAUUCACAAGUUGGCCAGCGGUCUUUUCUCCUGUCCGGGUGCAGAGCAUUGGAGGGGGCAGUUUGGGGGAAACUUGCACUGCCUGUGUCUGAUUGGAACCUGUUCUGUAGACAGAGGGCUUCGAUCUCCUGGGCUCUUCAAUCUGACACUUUUCGCCAGUGCUAAAUUCUCAUGUUUUGAUUUGUGAAAGGGCACGGAUCCACCAGCCAAAGGACAGAGGAGAGCAAACAGGGCUUGUCUGAUAAAGAUUGUGAGUGGAAAUGUGUGUGUCCUGUUCUCAGGGAGCCUUGUAUAGAGAGAGGCUGAAUUCCAGACACCCUGCUUGUAACUUAGCCCAGAAAGAAGCUCUCAUGUGCUGUACCUGGGACGGUCUGGGGCAUUCUCCCGCACUCCUGACUGCCUCCCCCUGGCUUUAGGUAUGAUCCUCGUGGGAACAGGUGGUGCAAGAUGGCACCUAUGACCUGCCAUAGGGAUGGCAGUGCUAGACGGCUACCCCUAUGCUAUCAGUGGCUUGGAUGGCCAGUCUCCACUGUAUGCAGUGGAACGUUACAAUCCGGAGAAGGAUUGUUCUCCUUGCCCUCCUUUGGGCACCUGCAGAGAGAAUUUUGGCUGUGCUAUGCUUCAAGGGAAAAUCUACGCUGUUGGUGGCCACGAUAACUUCACGGAUCUCUGCAGUGCUGAGUGGUUUGAUCCAGUCAUCAAUGAAUGGUCACCGAUGAUGCCUAUGAAAUCAAAGAGGAAUAAGGUGAAAGCUGUUGCAGCCAAUGGAUACCUACUGGCCAUCGGGGGGGCUUGAUGGUGUGACUCAUGUGACCACCGUGGAAGCAUUUGACCUGGAUGCCAACAAGUGGAGGACAGACGUACAAUCACCUUGACAUCACGUUGACUGUGAUAAGAGUUUUCAACACAGUGAUAACACACAGCUGAAAAGUAUGUUUCAGGUGAGGGACUUUAUAACCAAUUUGGGAAUAUCAGACAGGAGCCACGUAUUUAAAUAGCUGCCCAGAACAAAUAAUGGCAAGGAGAGAAUGCAAAGUUGUCUCUGAAGGCCCAGAUCCUCAGUUGCUGUGAACAGUCAUGGCUCCAUUGACCUGACCUGAGGUUUGUCACUUUACGCAGGUUGCGGAUCUGGCCCAUAGUUUCUUGAAUAGAGACGCUCUGUAAUAUCCUACAGCCUCUUCUUGUUGCAGACCCUUUGAAAAUACCAAGACCAGUCAUCCUGGUGGAGGUGUGGCUGUGCUGAAAACGACCAUCUAGGAGCUGAGAACUUUCCAACCAUCCUGUACUGCACUGAACACUAAUGAUGAAGUAUGGUUUUGUGGGAUGGUAGUGUAAGCAGGAGAGGAGGAAAGAGAGCAGCAGAGUGGAUAAGAUGGGGAAUGGGAUGGUGCCUUCAAUGAGUGAGUUAAUCCUUUUGUGCUUAGGGGAAUUCCAUAAGACAUGGGGAGUUUAUGCAUGGGGAUUGUAGAGCACAAGAUCAUCUUGAGCUUCCAUUUAAAGAGUUCAUGCUUUGAUCAUCAUGCCAGGAUGUAGUGGUACAUUGCAAAAACAACAACUAUCUCCUCAUGUAUGGAAUGUAGCUGUUUGGUUGGAAGAAGAGCCAUGUAGUUAAAGCUCUGGACUUGGUCCUCAAGUUCUGGGCUUGGUUCCCAGCUCUGCCACAAAUUUGUGUGAUCUCGGUCAAGUUACUUAAUUUCUCUUCAGCAUCUGGUAUGUUGAACCCCUGAUCUUGGCAUGGGCCUCUUGGUGCUACUGUGAUACAGCUAAUAAAUAAUACCGACUGGAGCUCUUCAAGAGCCCCCCCACUCACUCUCCUCUUCUGUUUAAUUUUUAGCAAGGAAAAAUGCCCCCUCAUACUUUUUAUACAAACAACUAUUUAACAUGCUUGGCUUUAUUAUGGUACAAUGCUAUUCUGAUUCCACGGAGAGCCAGAUUUUUUUAAAAGCAGGGAGAUGUUUCAGGAACAAAAACCUAAUGUAUCACUACCAAUGUGUGCUAAUAUCUAUCCAUCUCUCUAUACGGGUCCCUGCCAGGUGGGGGCUACUGGAUAAUGUGUAGCAGGGGGAAGCUCACCUUGUGGUAUUGGCAUAGCAUCGAACUGGUGCUGGGACAGCAGCAGAAGUUAUUCUCCCUGCAGAAAAUCUCUACCUGCUUCACAGUCACUUUCACGAAUGUGAUUAACCUGACUGAAUGCUCCGGGCUGCUGUCCAGGCAUGGAGUAUAACUUUGAGGAAACAAAUCUUCCUCUCUCAGGAGAAAUACAAGCUUCCUGUCCCCCAUUCUCCUUCAUCAACAACCUGCAGUUGAACAUUGCUCUGCUGGGAAGAGCUUGUGAACCAGCUGCAGGUAUUUCAUGGUCAUCGCCAAUGCAAAGCCAAGUCACCCUUUCAUCCAUCAACCAGGGGAAGAAGUUUGUGGAGGUGCUCGCAGCUGACAGCGUUCAUUUCCUAAUGCAGACCACAUGCAAGAUGUACUUACAACAAUCUCCCUGCCACUACUCUUUUUCCACUUAGCAGGGGAUUCAGGCCAGGAAAGCAUUACUUGGACAUGUACAGCCUGCUUCUCAAUUGUCAAGAGAGAACAUGUUUAUCCGUAAUAUACAACAUCUCAUAACUUUAGCCACACUGCUGCUAAUUGCCAUUUAUGUCCAGCUGGGCUGACUGUUUUUAUAGCCUAGUGUAACAACCAGCCCUUCCUGAGGGUGUUUUUCAAAGUCAGCGAAAUAGCAGGAUAACCAUGGUCAGCAAGACAAUGGCUCCCUGCCCUCUGGGCCUCCAGUAGGGCCAAUGUGCUGUUAAUCACUUUGGUUUUUAAUUAAAGGC